GCCACAUGAUGUGAUGUAGAUUGCAUGAGCACUCUGUGUGAAGAUGACCUUCUAUCUAUCACCCAUGACUGAUGGCU
Molecule: small nucleolar RNA, 77 nt
Filed under: Carassius auratus (goldfish)
Lineage: Eukaryota; Metazoa; Chordata; Actinopteri; Cypriniformes; Cyprinidae
Description: Small nucleolar RNA SNORD83 (ENSCARG00000045416.1)
Rfam family: Small nucleolar RNA SNORD83
About the family: U83 (SNORD83) and U84 (SNORD84) are members of the C/D class of snoRNA which contain the C (UGAUGA) and D (CUGA) box motifs. They act as guanine methylation guides but lack complementarity to ribosomal RNA.
Source: Rfam by way of RNAcentral